Molecule: ribosomal RNA, 434 nt
Filed under: uncultured bacterium
Lineage: Bacteria
Description: bacterial SSU rRNA
Rfam family: Bacterial small subunit ribosomal RNA
Source: RNAcentral
GGGCCCGCACAAGCGGUGGAUUAUGUGGUUUAAUUCGAAGCAACGCGCAGAACCUUACCUAGGCUUGAAAUCCUACGAAUCUGGCCCAAAAGCCGGAGUGCCCCUCGGGGAAUGUAGAGACAGGCGCUGCAUGGCUGUCGUCAGCUCGUGUCGUGAGAUGUUGGGUUAAGUCUCGCAACGAGCGCAACCCCUAUUUUUAGUUGCCAGCAUUAAGUUGGGCACUCUAGAGAGACUGCCUGGGUUAACCAGGAGGAAGGUGGGGAUGACGUCAAGUCCUCAUGGCCCUUAUGCCUAGGGCUACACACGUAAUACAAUGGUCGGUACAAAGGGACGCCAACCCGCAAGGGGGAGCAAACCUCAAAAAGCCGAUCUCAGUCCGGAUUGGAGUCUGCAACUCGACUCCAUGAAGUUGGAAUCGCUAGUAAUCGCAGGUC